UAAAAAAUCCACUAGCCCGACGCCCGGGACUAGAUCAUUUACGCCUCGGGCAAUUAAAAUGUGUAAUCCGAUAUGCCCGACGGACUAGUAACAAAAAGUUAUUGACGUUUCCAAAAUAGAAAGUAAAAAAUCCCUUCAUCACUAUUCUAUGUUAGCCAAUUCGAUUCAAUUAAAUCAUCUGGGAUUCCAAGAAUUUGAACUGGUUUGUACAGGUCCUGUUGUACAUAUUUUUAAAAUAGAACAAAUAACUCUGGCAUGUCUGGGUGGCCUGGUAUCAUGUGUUGAUCGCAAUUCUCGUACUUAAAUAUCGAUUUCUCAUACCAUGGCUUGGGGUAUUGUACAUUGCUUAUCGUGCCCAGAUUUUCAAUUAACAGUAUUUGGGGGUAUGAUGUAUUGAUUGGUAUUGACCUGUCUUGUUGCACAGCUCUUGAGCACGAAACCAUGCAACAAAAUAUUUCUUAAUAUUUUAGUACGGGAACCCCAGGAACUUCGUCAGUUUCAAAACGAAAAACGGUAGAUGAAAGGAGUAACGAAGCUGAAAAUUCAUCCCCCAAAAAUGCUAAAUACGACAUGGAAAAUUCGCGGAAAAAAAUUAAUAGUGUCCAGGACAGAAGGGCUGCCAAGUCUUUAGCGCGAGACUCACACAUGUUCAUGCUUAUUUGGCGGCAUUUUCCUUUGAACUAUCGUUUUUUCUCUUUGAUCUUUACAAUUUGGCCAAAAAAUCACGAAUUCACUUCCUGAAAAGUUGGCAGAACUGGGACACAAUGAUUCUCCUGGCAAGGUUGGCUGUUGCUGAUGAAAAAAA
This 805-nucleotide long non-coding RNA is filed under the name Mytilus galloprovincialis (Mediterranean mussel). The record is from RNAcentral. Lineage: Eukaryota; Metazoa; Mollusca; Bivalvia; Mytilida; Mytilidae.